Cornus florida is the source of this 2131-nucleotide RNA transcript. RefSeq lists it as uncharacterized. The transcript is spliced from 12 exons. The record is from RefSeq and is a predicted model, not a curated record. Lineage: Eukaryota; Viridiplantae; Streptophyta; Magnoliopsida; Cornales; Cornaceae.
AUGAGUUCCUACUCCAUACAUUCAGAAACAGCCUCGGGAAGCGCUAAUGAGUCCAGAACACGGAGAUAACUCAUCCUCAAACGUCUCUCUAAUCUCAUUAACUAAAUCCGUCCAAGCACAACAUAACUUUUUAGUUAUGCCGCACUCAACGUCGCCAUAAUCGAGAUAUAAUAUAUAUAUAUAGAGAGAGAGAGAGAGAGUGUGUGUGUGUGUGUGUGAGAGAGAGAGAGACUGAUGAUGAAGACAUAUAAAACGGCCAGAAAGAAAACGGUCGAUGAAGAAUUAGGUUCGAUCAUCAACCUCUCUAAUCUUACAGAAUGCUUUGUUGGUACAGUGGAUCUAGUUCCAAAUGCUGUUAUUAUUUUUAGCAUCUAUUCAAUCAGAUUAUUGAAAUUUAUCUUGGGUACGGUGCUUCCGCAUGCACAGCAAAAGACAGAAAUUAUUCAAGAAAAGGCUGAAGAUACAAGUAUGAUUUCUUCAUGUUUGCCUGGUGCCGUUCAUCGCCGCCAACGAUCAAUGAGGAGGGUUAAUCACAAGAAUUUAACUGCUGCUCCAAAUGAUGUUAACCUUCAGCACGCAACUGAAGAGUUUCCUGGACAUAACAUCAUGGAACACCACACAAGCCAGCCACACUCUGUGGUACGUCGGCGUGCUCGUCGAAAAAGAAAAAGAAAAAGUAGACGAGAAGCUGAACAAAGUAGUGAUACUGAAGUAGUUCCAUCAAGUUCUUUUGGUUCCUUCCGCUGCCGUGAAAGAUCAAAGAGAAUCAACAGCGUUGGUGGAAUCACCCAGCAGCAGGGGAAAAUGGACACUGAUACGUUUGAAUGCUACUUGGGGAAAUUAUGGAGGAGCCUCUCAGAGGAGAAGAGUAAUUCAUUCACAUAUCUUGAUUGCUUGUGGUUUAUAUUGUACAUGAAGGGUGAUGCCAAAGAAAGGGUGUUGAAUUGGAUUAAAAGGAAGAAUAUUUUCUCAACAAAAUACGUCUUUGUUCCCAUUGUUCAGUGGUGUCACUGGAGUCUCCUGAUCUUCUGUCAUUUCGGUGAAAGUACACAGUCGAAAACCAGAACUCCAUGCAUGCUGUUGCUGGAUUCACUGCAAAUGUCAAAUCCAAAGCGGCUUGAACCUGGGAUAAGGAAGUUUGUGUUUGACAUAUAUGAAUCAGAGGAUAGGCCAGAGAACAAAAAACUGAUUAAAAAAAUACCUCUUUUGAUUCCCAAGGUGCCGCAGCAGAGAAAUGGUGAAGAAUGUGGCAAUUAUGUUCUCUACUAUAUUAAACUUUUCAUAGAGAGUGCUCCCGAAAAUUUUAGCAUAGCUGAGGGCUACCCUUACUUUAUGAAAAAAGACUGGUUUACUACUGAAGGCUUGGAAUGCUUCUGCAAAGAACUUGAUUCAUUUUGCCACUAAAUUAUACAGGUCUGGCAGAUUGCUUUUAUGCACAAUUUUUGUAUACUGCUGUCAUAUUUUGCUAUACAGGUACAUCACAAGGAUGAAUAUGUCGAGGUUGUGUUCGGCUGAACGAUCAAAUGUGCAUAACAAGGAUGAAUAUGUCGAGGGUGUGUUCAGCUGAAAGAUCGAAUGUACAUAACAAGGAUGAAUGUGUAGAGGGAGUGUGUUUGGUUGAAAGAUCAAAUGUCGGUUGAAUGUAUAAGUUUCCUUUUGGCUUUUGGAUACGUGUACUUCUGAACAAUUUGAUACAAUUGAAACUGAAUGUGCAUCAAAGUUUUACAAAAUCACCCCAGGAAAUAGGGUAUGCCUUCAAGUUUUACAAAACCACGUAGAAGGUCUGUGUAAUAUUGACAAAGUUGAGGGAAGGUAAGUGGAAUUUAUUCAAUUUUUUUUUACCGUAUAAGUAGAUUUUGCCCAUUUUAAACUAGAAGAGAUGCAGCCUAUUGGGUUUUGCUAGCUCUGCUUUUUAUUUGGUGAAAUCUUUAACGAUGUUUUUAUCGUAGACGCGAGAUUUAACAAGAAUUACGUAAUAUCUUUGUGGGGGUGUGUUGUAUUUUUAUAUUUUUCGUGAGUUUCUUGAUUGUGAAUUUGCAAUAAGGAAGUUUAUCGUUUUGCAUUGUGUAUAUUGCUUCUUCUGUUGUAACCUAAACUAUUCUGGGUAGAUUGUUUUUUUCUUUUUUCCUUA